UUGAUCCCAUGGCUCAGAUUGAACGCUGGCGGCAGGCCUAACACAUGCAAGUCGAGCGGAUGACAGGAGCUUGCUCCUGAAUUCAGCGGCGGACGGGUGAGUAAUGCCUAGGAAUCUGCCUGGUAGUGGGGGACAACGUUUCGAAAGGAACGCUAAUACCGCAUACGUCCUACGGGAGAAAGCAGGGGACCUUCGGGCCUUGCGCUAUCAGAUGAGCCUAGGUCGGAUUAGCUAGUUGGUGAGGUAAUGGCUCACCAAGGCGACGAUCCGUAACUGGUCUGAGAGGAUGAUCAGUCACACUGGAACUGAGACACGGUCCAGACUCCUACGGGAGGCAGCAGUGGGGAAUAUUGGACAAUGGGCGAAAGCCUGAUCCAGCCAUGCCGCGUGUGUGAAGAAGGUCUUCGGAUUGUAAAGCACUUUAAGUUGGGAGGAAGGGCAGUAACUUAAUACGUUGCCGUCUUGACGUUACCGACAGAAUAAGCACCGGCUAACU
Molecule: ribosomal RNA, 496 nt
Filed under: Pseudomonas sp. CL2.4
Lineage: Bacteria; Pseudomonadati; Pseudomonadota; Gammaproteobacteria; Pseudomonadales; Pseudomonadaceae
Description: bacterial SSU rRNA
Rfam family: Bacterial small subunit ribosomal RNA
Source: RNAcentral